RNAcentral lists this ribosomal RNA (301 nucleotides) under uncultured bacterium. RNAcentral's name for it is "partial 16S ribosomal RNA". It matches the Rfam family "Bacterial small subunit ribosomal RNA", at positions 509 to 807 of the family's 1533-position model. The record is from RNAcentral.
CAGCCGCCGCGGGAAUACGAAGGGUGCAAGCGUUAAUCGGAAUUACUGGGCAUAAAGCGUGCGUAGGCGGUUUGUUAAGUCUGUUGUGAAAUCCCCGGGCUCAACCUGGGAAUGGCAAUGGAUACUGGCAAGCUAGAGUGUGUCAGAGGAUGGUGGAAUUCCCGGUGUAGCGGUGAAAUGCGUAGAGAUCGGGAGGAACAUCAGUGGCGAAGGCGGCCAUCUGGGACAACACUGACGCUGAGGCACGAAGGCGUGGGGAGCAAACAGGAUUAGAUACCCCCGUAGUCCCUGUCUCUUAUAC